CCAAUACUGACACUGAGGAGCGAAAGUCUGGGGAGCGAACAGGAUUAGAUACCCUGGUAGUCCAGACCGUAAACGGUGGGCACUAGUUGUGGGGACCUUCCACGGUUUCUGCGACGCAGCUAACGCAUUAAGUGCCCCGCCUGGGGAGUACGAUCGCAAGAUUAAAACUCAAAGGAAUUGACGGGGCCCCGCACAAGCAGCGGAGCAUGCGGCUUAAUUCGACGCAACGCGAAGAACCUUACCAAGGCUUGACAUAUAGGGAAAAGUGGCAGAGAUGUCAUGUCCGCAAGGGCUCUAUACAGGUGGUGCAUGGUUGUCGUCAGCUCGUGUCGUGAGAUGUUGGGUUAAGUCCCGCAACGAGCGCAACCCUCGUUCUGUGUUGCCAGCAUUUAGUUGGGGACUCACAGGAGACUGCCGGGGUUAACUCGGAGGAAGGUGGGGAUGACGUCAAAUCAUCAUGCCCCUUAUGUCUUG
Molecule: ribosomal RNA, 474 nt
Filed under: uncultured Actinomycetes bacterium
Lineage: Bacteria; Bacillati; Actinomycetota; Actinomycetes
Description: bacterial SSU rRNA
Rfam family: Bacterial small subunit ribosomal RNA
Source: RNAcentral